UACGGAGGGUGCAAGCGUUAUCCGGAUUCACUGGGUUUAAAGGGUGCGUAGGUGGGUUGGUAAGUCAGUGGUGAAAUCUCCGAGCUUAACUUGGAAACUGCCAUUGAUACUAUUAAUCUUGAAUACCGUGGAGGUCAGCGGAAUAUGUCAUGUAGCGGUGAAAUGCUUAGAUAUGACAUAGAACACCAAUUGCGAAGGCAGCUGGCUACACGAAUAUUGACACUGAGGCACGAAAGCGUGGGGAUCAAACAGG
This 253-nucleotide ribosomal RNA is filed under the name uncultured bacterium. Its description in RNAcentral is "partial 16S ribosomal RNA". It matches the Rfam family "Bacterial small subunit ribosomal RNA", at positions 524 to 776 of the family's 1533-position model. The record is from RNAcentral.